Molecule: long non-coding RNA, 239 nt
Filed under: Elaeis guineensis (African oil palm)
Lineage: Eukaryota; Viridiplantae; Streptophyta; Magnoliopsida; Arecales; Arecaceae
Description: long non-coding RNA (EGUI_LNC067917)
Source: RNAcentral
GUUCAUGAUUUUAAUAUGAAGCAAUUUUAUCAAAAACUCUAACUUGAAAAGCUUUGUACAAUUUGGAUAGAGUAGCUCUCGUGCAUCCCUUAUAAGCUUUGCAAACUGUUCAAAAGUUCUUUCUACCUCAAGCCGAAUAUUAUGUUCAUGAUCAGAAUUACUUUCAGAUGUAGUAGUACUCAUGCAUACAUUUGAACAAGAACCUUGAUGUAAAUCAUCUAACAAUUUUUCUAUACCAC